AACGUACGCNGGCGGCACGCCUAACACAUGCAAGUCGAACGCAGUAGCAAUACUGAGUGGCGAACGGGUGAGUAUAAUGUGGGUAUCUGCCUUUUGGUUUGGAAUAACAUGAGGAAACUUGUGCUAAUACCGGAUAAGCCUUCACAGGGAAAGUUUUAUACGCCAAAAGAUGAGCCCGCACUUGAUUAGUUAGUUGGUAAGGUAAUGGCUUACCAAGACUGCGAUCAAUAGCUGAUCUGAGAGGAUGAUCAGCCACAUUGGGACUGAGACACGGCCCAAACUUCUACGGAAGGCAGCAGUGGGGAGUCUUGCACAAUGGGGGAAACCCUGAUGCAGCGAUGCCGCGUGAGUGAAGAAGGCCCUUGGGUUGUAAAGCUCUUUCGUCGGGGAAGAAAAUGACUGUACCCGAAUAAGAAGGUCCGGCUAACUUCGUGCCAGCAGCCGCGGUAAUACGAAGGGACCUAGCGUAGUUCGGAAUUACUGGGCUUAAAGAGCACGUAGGUGGUUAAGAAAGUUGGUGGUGAAAUCCCAAGGCUUAACCUUGGAACUGCCAUCAAAACUUUUUAACUAGAGUAUGAUUGAGGUAAGCGGAAUUUCUAGUGUAGAGGUGAAAUUCGUAGAUAUUAGAAAGAACACCAAUUGCGAAGGCAGCUUUCUGGAUCAUUACUGACACUGAGGUGCGAAAGCAUGGGUAGCGAAGAGGAUUAGAUACCCUCGUAGUCCAUGCUGUAAACGAUGUGUGCUAGACGUUGGGAAUUUAUUUUUCAGUGUCGCAGCAAAAGCGUUNAGCACACCGCC
RNAcentral lists this ribosomal RNA (798 nucleotides) under uncultured Pelagibacterales bacterium. RNAcentral's name for it is "SSU rRNA". It matches the Rfam family "Bacterial small subunit ribosomal RNA", at positions 28 to 873 of the family's 1533-position model. Lineage: Bacteria; Pseudomonadati; Pseudomonadota; Alphaproteobacteria; Candidatus Pelagibacterales. The record is from RNAcentral.